AGAAAAUCCUUCAUGUGGGAUUAAAAGUGUUAUGAUUGAGGAGACACCUGAGCAGGAUAUGGAGGGAAAUUUUUGGCUGCAGAAACUUGGAAUGAGUAUAAACAAGUGGUCACAGCUGAAUUCCCUGACUGAACUGCAUGAAAACAGAGCUCUAGAAAAAGAUCAUCCAAACACAUCUGGAGUUUGUUCUGAUCUUGAACACAAAGUUACUGAGCUGGAAGAGUAUAAAACCAAAGAAG
Molecule: long non-coding RNA, 239 nt
Organism: Centrocercus urophasianus (Greater sage-grouse)
Lineage: Eukaryota; Metazoa; Chordata; Aves; Galliformes; Phasianidae
Exons: 3
Source: RefSeq, a predicted model, not a curated record